AUUGAACGCUGGCGGAAUGCUUUACACAUGCAAGUCGAACGGCAGCACGGACUUCGGUCUGGUGGCGAGUGGCGAACGGGUGAGUAAUACAUCGGAAUGUGCCCAAUCGUGGGGGAUAACGUAGCGAAAGCUACGCUAAUACCGCAUACGAUCUAAGGAUGAAAGCGGGGGAUCGCAAGACCUCGCGCGAUUGGAGCGGCCGAUGGCAGAUUAGGUAGUUGGUAGGGUAAAGGCCUACCAAGCCGACGAUCUGUAGCUGGUCUGAGAGGAUGAUCAGCCACACUGGAACUGAGACACGGUCCAGACUCCUACGGGAGGCAGCAGUGGGGAAUUUUGGACAAUGGGCGAAAGCCUGAUCCAGCCAUUCCGCGUGCAGGAUGAAGGCCCUCGGGUUGUAAACUGCUUUUGUACAGAACGAAGAGGUUUCUACUAAUACUAGGAGCUCAUGACGGUACUGUAAGAAUAAGCACCGGCUAACUACGUGCCAGCAGCCGCGGUAA
This 500-nucleotide ribosomal RNA is filed under the name uncultured bacterium. RNAcentral describes it as "partial 16S ribosomal RNA". It matches the Rfam family "Bacterial small subunit ribosomal RNA", at positions 30 to 523 of the family's 1533-position model. The record is from RNAcentral.